GUGCCAAAAUGCUAAUCUAAGGCUUCUCUUUCUAUGGGUAUAUUGCAAAUAUAACUUGUGGCAAUGGAACCUGAACGCAAAUUGAAUAAUUUGAUGGACUUUUGAGUUUCUUGAAUGUUUCCGAGUUCUUUGGUCAUUUUUAGAUCAAUUUAGUGAAGGAGAAGUCCAACCCUGAAUUAUAAUUCAAGAAAUUUAGAAUUCAUGGAUAUUACUGAAGUUCCCAACUUUUGUUAUUUCCGUUCUUCCCGAUGUUAAUUCCAAGCAAUUCCCAACUUACUUAGAGGAAAUCGGCCUUUGUCUGACCUCUGAUAUACUGAGGAUAGAUUAUCUAAUUGGUUAACAUACUUGUCUACUUUGAGCUUGCUGAAGAUGUCAAUAUGCAGCAAUGCAAGCUACAAGAAAUACAUUCCAACUACUAUGAAGACUGUUAGACUGAUGUGCUUAUAGUUCUUUUUGUACUUACGUACAGAAUAUAUGUAGUUACUAUUCAACCCUCUACUUGUAAAGUUCAUUGGUCAAGUUAUUUCAUGUGUAUCUUAGCAUUGUGGCUAAGGUGGUUUGUGUUUGCUCGCUGACAAUGUUUCAUAAUGCCUUUGUGGACUAUGUUUUAGCAUUUUUGUGUAUCACAUCAAAUUCUUUACAUCUUUGUCUAGGCCUUUCCUUUAUUGGCAAUGAUUCAAAGCAUUGUACAUUGCCACAGGAUAUUGCAUGUAUUUUAUAGAUUUCAAUUGCUAUAUUUUCUCAAAGAGCGACAUUAUUACCAUGUUGUUUUUCCUUUUAUUGGUCCAUGUAAAUCAGUCAUCAGUUUCUUUGAAAUUCACAUAUGGGGCUUAUGUUCAUCUAAUGAAUGAUGAUCCAAUCCAACGGCAGUUUUUCAUGUUAUCAGAGAUCUCUUUCAAGAUUGGUCCAUGUAAAUCAGUCAUCAGUUUCUUUGAAAUUCACAUAUGGGGCUUAUGUUUGUCUAAUGAAUGAUGAUCCAAUCCAACGGCAGUUUUUCAUGUUAUCAGAGAUCUCUUUCAAGAUUGGUUAUAUAGGAGGUAAUUUGCCUGAAGUGGAUGCCAAUUGACAGUUUUAUAUAAUACGCUGAGUUUUGCUAAAAUGCUGGUAGUGUUUAAGGCAAUCAAGCUUUAGGUGAAUAUGCUUCAUGGCCUCAUCUUAGUUCUGGUCAUCCUUUUUUAGCUAUAAGUUUUAAAUUAGGGCUAGUUGAAUUUUAUUUGAUAUUUUCUUUAUCUAUAGGUAUUGUGUUAGUGAGGUUGAAAUGCUAUAACCAUUCUGAUAUGCAUUUUUCUUUAGUAACAGUUCUUGAACAGAAUCCUAUUGAGUUGUUUAUUAACUUGUUAUAACAUAUUUCUCUUUCAAGUGUUGAUGACCCAUGGGCGAUGAACUCGUACAUGUCAGAACGGAAAAAGAAAAAAAAGUUAGAAGCUUUGAUAUUCAUACACGUAUUCGAAUUUCGAAUGAGUCACAGGGGAACAUGCAUUGCUGGCCAGACCAAAACUGCAACUUCCGAUGCAAAAAGAUAAGUAUGCCAUUUCUGCUGCACAAUCUACUAGCUUUGAAUGGUAGGCUUAGGAGAACAGUUGUUGCUUUCUUUGAAUGGUUGGUUUGAACUAUGACACAUUGGUGGAGCCAGAAGAUGAUACUUAACCUCAAGGGCUAAGCAACUAUAUAACUUCCUCAUGUUCUCUUUCUGAGUAAGAAACCAAGCUCCCAGUUCACACAAGCUCCCAAUUCACACGCUUUUUGACAGGCUGUUUAAGAAGAUCCACACUACCCAUUUCCAUACAGAUCUCCUGAACUCACAGACUCGGAAAACUUCUCAGAAAGCCUUGCAAGUUCAGGCAUUGCCUUAGUGGUAGAGAGCUGACUAUGGGUCCAGGAGGACCUGGGGGUGGUGGUGGUCGUGGGGGUGGUGGUGGUGGCUGGGGUGGACCUGGCGGUGGUGGUGGACAUGGGGGCCCGGGUCCAGGAGGCUUCUUUGGUGGCUUAUGCAACCUGAUAGGUUCUGGCUUAAAUUGCCUGUGCUGUUGCUGGUUGCUGCGAGAUUGUUUCGGUGGACCACCCGGCGGCGGUGGCGGCCCUGGAGGCCCUCGUCCUUUCUGAUUUGCUGGGCAUGGGUUUGAUGAACUGAGAUUGCUUUGUUGGAUUACUUAUGCAAUAAAAUCCUGUGUUCACUCAGUGAUAAAAGAAUAACUGUUCCUGUUUCUCAGUCAUAUGUAUCUACUGGCCAUUUUCUUCCUUUGUAAAUGGAGAGAAUGAUGGAGUUAUCAUUUUGUAUCAGACCUUGUUACUUUAUGUGUUUAUGAAAUGCAGUGACUUUGACUUU
This is an RNA transcript of Rhododendron vialii, 2326 nucleotides long. RefSeq lists it as uncharacterized. The transcript is spliced from 3 exons. Lineage: Eukaryota; Viridiplantae; Streptophyta; Magnoliopsida; Ericales; Ericaceae. The record is from RefSeq and is a predicted model, not a curated record.